This is an RNA transcript of Cucurbita pepo subsp. pepo (vegetable marrow), 4179 nucleotides long. It is a transcript of the gene named thioredoxin-like 3-2, chloroplastic, with no coding region annotated. The record is from RefSeq and is a predicted model, not a curated record. Lineage: Eukaryota; Viridiplantae; Streptophyta; Magnoliopsida; Cucurbitales; Cucurbitaceae.
UUUUCUUUUCCUUUUUGUUUUCUUCAACAAAAUCAAAUGGCGUUUCUCUCAGAUUUUCCAGUUUAGGGGAUCGAUCGGAACAAUCUCUGAACUACUCUGAAUCUCCCGGUGGGACUCCACCGAAACCCUCUCUAAGCCGCCGCCGCCGUCGUCAGCUCCACCCCGAUUUAACCCACCAGCCGCUGUCCUCUGAAUUUUUCUCUCCUUUUUCCGUUUUCCAUCUGAAAUGGUGAAAGCUUUGCCUCUUCACCUCGCAAGCGUGAAAUUUUUCCCCAAAUUCGACGGUUCUUAUGAUCUUCCUUCGCUUCUCCUGCUCCCGCCCGCGAGGCUCCCCGCCUCUGGUUUCAACAAGCUUCCUCUGUCUCGAAAAUUUCCGCGGAUUUCCCAGAAAGUUUAUGUGACUGAUGAGAAGGUUUCGCUGCUUGGAGCUUGGACGCAAGAGAGUUCCCUGCAAUUUCGAGAUGAAUCGCCUGUUUCGAUGGAGCUCCAGUCCAUUAGCAGCGAACUUGAAUUCGAUCAGGCUAUUGCAGAUGCGGAGGAACACAACGGGCUCGUGAUUCUUGUAUGGAUGGCUAACUGGUGCAGAAAUUAUAUUUAUUUGAUACCCCAAUUGGAAAGAUUGGCUGCUGAUUAUUACCCCAGAUUGCAGUUCUACUGCAUUAAUGUCAAUAUGGUGCCACACAAGCUAGUUGUUCGUGCCGGAUUAGCUAAGAUGCCAGCUAUUCAGCUAUGGAAGGAUGGCAAGAAACAAGACGAGGUGAUUGGUCUCUACAAAGCAUAUUUAGUUGUCAACGACGUUCAGAAAAUGAUCGAACGUGAGCUAACAGAAUCCAUCAAUUUCAAACAAUUUAAGAGUCUAGGUCGCAAGCCCACUUUUAGUACCUGUUAAGCCGUCCUACUCUUGAAGCAUUAUCAUGAAUGGGCCUCCAAUCGUGGUUCGAAUGCCACUUCCAGAAUCCUCGGGACUUUUGUUCAUUAUCUCCAUCCCAAUGUGGGGGUCCAAUGGUGGUCGAAUGCCAAGGAAGCGGAAUACUGUUGGGGCAUUAUCAUGAAUGGAAGGUAAACUGGGGAGGAUUUGACUGUUUCUCUUGCUAAAUAUUAGAAUAUCAUGUAUUAGAUCAGUUUGCCUAAGAAGACGGUUGAUUUAGUGCGGUGGAUCUCGAUCAUACGCCUCAGGUUGCUGACUUAUAAUUUUCUAUGGUUUUUCGAAUUUGUUAUGUAAUUUCUUGACUUACAUCAAUUCCAAAACUGUUUUUGGUUUCAAGAAAUGCAAAGGUUUUUAAAAACUGUUUUGGGUCAUUGAAGAACAGGGCCCGAGUCCUUUUAUUAAAAAUGGAGUUAAACAUGGUGAGUCCAUGCUAAUUAGGUUUGUUUUGUUUAUUUGAUUUGCUCUAUGUGAGACUCUAUUUGUGUAGGUAUUUUCACCUUUGUGGUAAUAGUGUUAUUGCUUCGACAAAUAUUGGUAUGAAGAGGUUUUUCUUAAUGGGUUUCUCGCUAAUUUUCCGCAAAUUUGUUGUUCAAGCUAUCCUCGUUCGUGGCUAAUGAAACUAAUCUAUGCAAUGGUUCUAAUUGUUAUAGAUUUUGGUUUAGGUGGCUUACAAUCAAUGUCCUUGGACCACUUAUUUCGAUGAAUUAAGGUAAAUCAUUUGGUUUUUCCUUCUGUUUUAGCAAAAUCAUUGAAAGGACCUUGUGUUUUCUUGUCUCAUGUGGUUCAUGUGAACUAUUUUAAACUUUAAAAGUUUUAUAUCUUGGAGUUUUAUUGGUGGUCUGUCAUUUGAUCUCUUGUGUUUUAUUUAGUAUUUUCUUUUGGUAAAGUAUUGAAUGUGCUGUCACAUUGUUGUAGAUGCAUGUCUAAACCAUAGAUUGUUCCUAGACUCCUGGGAUAACCUCUCUUUCCUCUUUGGAUUAGGCCUUUUUUUUUAUAUGCCUAUGUGGUUUGUCUGGUGUUAAACAAGUGCGGUGAAUCUCUAAUCAAAUGCCUCAGGUUUGCUGGCUUGUCUCUUUGGUUUUUCAAGUUUGUUAUGUAUUUUCUUGACCGACAGAAUAUGCUUUAAGAAAUGGGUACGAGCGGCUUACAUCAAUUCCAAUACUUUUUUUGGUUUCCUGAGAUGCAAUGGUUAUUUCAAAAACUGUUUUUAACCUGUUAGAAACAUGCUUUUAAUUAGGUGCGUUAAUAAAAACUUGCUUUAUAUAUGUCAAGCUAUGCUUAUUUUAACGCUUCUCAUUGAUUCAUGAGAUUGUUUCGAGUUGGUUUUUAAAGACAAUUAUCUUUUGAGAGCAAUGCUUUGGUUAAAACAUGUUAUUUUCUUAAUCCAAAUAUUGAUCUCUUGAACUUAGUAUAAAAAAUAUGUAACCUUGCCUUUUUGUCUAUAUUCAUGAUCUUACUUUGUUUGAGGCACUUUGCUAGUAGUUCUGGGUUUGUUGAAGGCCAUCUUGACUGAUUGCUCUAAUGGGUGUUUUAUCACACACGCUUCUCUAAUGGCCAUAUUUUGGUGUCUAUUCAGCCUAUCACUCUUGACCACUGGUAGGUAUCGUUGUUUCAACGAAUACUAAUAUGAAGAGGGUUCUUUUGAAAUGGGUCAGGUUUGAGUUCUUUCUCUUCUUUCUUUGAAAGACGUCUGGAAUGGUCCAUUUGUGUUACUUCAUCAAAUUCUUGUGUGUCUUAGCACAACUAUGUUCCAAACGCAAGGGAAAUGAAAUGCUUGGAGAAUUUUCAUCAGGGGAAGAGCUUUGGUAAAUUGGUAUGGUUUUCUUGAUUUAAUCUUCUCCAUCGAAUCUAAUGUUUAGUUAUUUAUUAAGGUGUUAAACAACGUGUUGACAACUAAAUUUGGGAUUCUAUUUGUCCUGGUGUUUCUGUCUGUGGCUUGUAGUCAACAUGAAUUAGGUGGAAUCUUUGUUUAGAAACAUGCUUGUAGUGAUGUCCAAACCAAAUCAGUUGAGUGUUUAUUAAUUAUUUUUUUGAAAGAAAAAUUAGAAACAAGUCAUUUUGGGUAUGAGGGAUGAUGUUUUAAUUUUUUAGAUUUAUAUCAAAUUUUGCUAAGGUAAUUUUUACCUUUUCUAGUUUGUUUAUGAGAGGGUUUCAUGACAAUUUUUAAUGUUCAGCCUUUUUCCGGGAGAUCUAUGCCUUUUUCCAAGGGUCUCGGUUGUCUUGAAUUAUUAAUUGGGUGUUGUGUUGUCGAAAUCUUUGAUAUACUAUUUUGAAGUAUGGAUGUCUCGAAAUGAUAAUUGUUAUGAAAUAUGAAAUAUCGAUUAUUUUGGUACACUAACUGUCUAGACAUAAUGGUUGCUUUAAUGGUGUGAAAUAUGGGUUGCCCGGACAAUAUUUGUCUAGACAUAAUAGGUUGCCUUGAUGGAAUCUAAAAUAAUGCUCAAAAUAUUAAUUGUCUCGGGAUGAUAAUUGUUGCGGAAUAUCGGUUGUCUUGGUACAAUGAUUGCCUUGAUAGUUCAGACAUAGGCAUAUUGGUUGCUUUGAUGGUGUGAAAUAUUGGUUGCCUUGGCAAUUAUUUGUCAAAGACAUAAUGGUUUCUUUGAUGGAAUCCAAAAUAAUGGUUGUUCGAAAUAUUGGUUGUCUCGGGAUGAUAAUUGUUGCGAAAUAUCGGUUGUCUUGGUACGCUGAUUGUCCAUACAUAAUAGUUGCCUUGACAAUUGUCCAGACAUAAUGGUCUAAAAUAAUAGUUGUUCGAAAUAGUGAUUGUCUCGUGAUGAUAAUUGUUGCAAAAUUGUCUUGGUACAACGAUUGUCCAAACAUAAUAGUUGCCUUGACAAUUGUCCUGAUAUAAUGGCUCCCUUGAUGGAAUCCAAAAUAAUGGCCGCUCGAAAUAUUGGUUGUCUUGGGAUGAUAAUUGUUGUGGAAUAUCAGUUCUUGGUACAAUAAUUGUCUUGAUAGUUCAAACAUAGUGGUUGCUUUGAUGGUGUGAAAUAUUGGUUGCCUUGGCAAUAUUUGUCCAUACAUAAUGGUUGCUCGAAAUAUUGUUUGUCUUAGAAUUAUAAUUCUGGCAAAAUAUCGGAUUGGUACAAUAAUUGUUCAGGCAUUUUGUGAAAUAUUGGUUGUUUUGGUACAAUGAUCGUCCAAAUAUAAUGUUUGCAUUGAUGUUGGAAUGAUAAUUGCGAAUAUCAGUUGUUUUUGUAUAAUAAUUGUCCAAACAUUGCCCCGACGAUAGAAUACAGUAUAAUUGUUUU